CAUAUUUGCCUGAAAACGAAUUAUUCGACGAAAUAUUACAUUUGAAAAACUUCAAAAAUGGAAUUAAUGGAAGAAAAACGCCAGCCACUGAUAAGCUUUCAACUCAAAUUUUAAAUUAUUUCAAUGGAAAUCAUAUUCCUUGUCUGCAUCUUACAUAAGCUAUCGAAUUCUCACUUUGUUUACAUAUAUUAACAACUGAAAGGUUGUUUUCUAUUAUAAAUAAUCUGUGAAUACGAGAAAAAUCGCAGCUGAAGAAUGAUACCGUGAAGGCAAUGGUUAUAACUAACUGCAAUUCAGAGUGCAAUACUUACAAAGCGUUCAAAGAACAAAUUCCAAAUUGCGAUGGACAUUAAAAAGGUUCAUUCUCUUUCAAAAUGUGAACAAUGCGCUUAUGAAGAACAGGAAGACAACUUAGAAGAUGACCAUAUUGGAAAGCUUGCACAGUUGAACAACUGUAAAAAAUUACUAGAAUGGAUGAAACCUUGUCAGAGUAUAUUACAUAAAUUGAUCCAAACAUUGCAUGCAUCCUAAUAAUUCACCAAAUGAUAAACAAUGCAAUUCCUAGUUAUGAAGAAAUAUACAAAAAAAAAAAAUAGAAAAAUAUGCAGACAUCGAAACUGUAAUUUUUAGAAAAUAAGAAAUUAAUUUAAAAAAAAACUAUUUCUAAUAAAGACAUCUGGACUUAAUAACCACAUUUUAUUUAUUGGAAAAUAGUGACAUUUUUAUCAAUUUCUGUAGGAAUUUUAUUUUUCGAUUAGCGAGGAUCAUUGGUGGAAUUGAUUACCUAGAAUAUGUGAAUAGUCUGAAUAUAUCUCCUAUCCUUCUUAAAAAUUAUCUUGGAAAUUUUUAAAAAAGUUUUUGCUCAUAACAAAUCUCUGUAAUUUUAUAUUAAAAGGAUUGAACUUUUUCAUACUUUAUUUCUUAGUACUUAAAUAAUAAUUAAUUCUAAAAAAAAUAUUUCAGCAAGUUGAAUAUUAUACCAGAAGAAUUUCAGUCUAAAAAAGGGAUUUAAUACAAACAAUUUUCCAUUCUCUGUUAUAACUGCAAUAGUUUGAUUUUAUUUCACACAUUAUUUAAUAUAAAAACCCCUAUCAGCGAAAAGUUUAACGAAAAAAUCAAUAUCUUAAUAAAACUUUACAUAAAAUGCUGAGCUUUGGUAAAUGGCACAUUUAAAACAAUACGAGAUCAGACAUGUAAUUAUUUACUAUUGUUGCAAAUUAGAACCAAAAAGAAUUUUUGUAAGCUAUAUUAGACGAUGGUAUUUUUUAUACAUGGUGUUCUACACACCCAUAUACAGAAAGUGGGAGGUUUAGUUUUAAUAUCAUGUUGAAUAACAAUCAAAAACAAAGUCCAACAUUAAGAAUUUGUGUAAAUUAAAAAAAUUUUUUUGCGGUACUAGUUUCGAUAGUUUUUGAACUACUUUCUUCAGCUGCUAAGUGCAAAUGAACCAAAUAAAGUGUGAAGAAAGAUAAGAUAAGGAUAGAGAUAAGAUAAGUUGGACAGAUGUUAAGCUACGGGCACCAUCUACUGAUGAAACAAGGAAAACUAAAACAAAUUUUCUUUAAAGGCUGAAGGUAAAGAUGGAUUGCAGUUGAGGUCAUUAACUAGAACAGAAAUGUUAUGCUUCUAAAAAAUCUAAUUCACCAAUGGAGGACGUUUUUUGAAUAAUUUUGGCUGCAGAAAAAUGGAAAGUGUGAUUUUCACUCCAACAAUGCUGAGCAACAGCAGAUUUCUGAGUUUCCUUUUCCCUAACAUAUGCCUCAUGUUCUUUAACACGAAAUUUUAGAGCUCUUUUUAUUUGAUCAAUGUAAAUUAAACCAUGUUGGCAAGGAAUACUGUAAAUACGACAGGAAUUCAUAUCCAAAAUGGAGUCCUUAAGCAUGAAACUAGGAAUUUUAUUGAUAGAAGAGAAAACAAUCCAAAAGUUAAAUUUCUGCAAAAUACGUGCAAUUUUACAUCUAAUUGACGGAAAGAAAGGAACGACAACAGAAUUCCUAUAACCACCUAAAACAGGAUUGUACCUUUUGAUGUGCUCCGAUGAGAAUUUUUUAACUGCAUGGCUAAUAAUGUUGGAUGAAAAACCUCUGUUCAAUAGCUACUGCUUUUAAAUAAUUUAGUUCCUGGGGUAUUUAUAAUAUAUGAAGUGUGCAAGUAACAUAAACACACUUCAAUUAUCAUUAGCAAAAAAUAUCAUUUUUUAAAAAUUUAUUAUUUAACCAAACUCGGUGGCACAACAGCCCUAGUGAGCCAUGGCCUGCGGUAUCCCGAUAUCUGCUUUCCAGACUGUGGGCCUCAGGGUGAAUGAGCAUAUGCCCUGGACAAGUGGUUGCAGGAUCUCUGGCGUUUACUCCCCAAGCAAACUUAUUACUCAUUUUAUCCACCCACUAAACAGAUGAAAAGCUGACCCAACCUUGCCCAGCCUGGGAUCGAAACCCGGACUUGUGGUGUUGCUGUUUAAGGCACUAACCACUGUGCCACCGACCUUAAAUUUAUAAUUUAGCUUAGCUUUUAUUUUGAAGAGUUUGAAAAAAAUCUGGCAAAAGCUAGGAAAAAUAUUUUAAGAUUUCAGUGAUCAACAAUUGGCAACAAAAAAUAAUGAAAAAUUCAUAGUAUAUUUUGAUUCUGUUCCCAAAAAUUUACCUUCAUUUGCACUAUCAUAUUCAUGGUUCCAGGUACCUGCAGUUCCAUUUGCUGAGUUCACUGAAAUGUAAAAACAAUGAUUUCCAUGGGAUAAUACAAUAUGAAUGCUCACCAUACGGAUAUUCUUCAUACGUGAUAGACAUUUUGGGAAGAAAACAUUUAUCAUGUUAAGGCAGACAGGCUUCUUACUACCUUAAGAUGGAUUCUUCUAUUUUUUUUUUUUUUAUUAUUCCUUACAUUCAAAAUGUAAAUGAAAAGGACUAAAUUUGAGAAGAUGUUACACGAAUGUGAAGAUUUAAAAAUACAAACUGCCAAAAGGGCUUUACAGAAAUCCUUCCAAUAACAGACAGACUGCUGAAGUGCAAGCACUUGCAAAAGAAUCUAUUCUGAAAAUGAUUAGGAUUCCAUAUCUCCAAAUAAGGGUUUUCCCAGCCAAAAAUUAGUUAAGUUUUGAAUAGAACUAGUAUCGACCAAAAUACACAUAGAAUUUCUAUUGGAACAGUGUUUUUCAUGGUUUUGCUUAAGACGUCAAAGUAUACUUGGUUAUCUGCAACAGCAGAUUCUGGUUGGGUAAAAAAGGCUAUUCUGCAUUUUUGUACAGUUAAUUAUAAACAUUAGUUUUGUAGAACUGUUAUAAAUCUAUGCCUUUGAACGAGCUUUUAGUUUAACUCUUGGGAUGCAAAAUAACUAAAACAUGCACACACACAAUGUAAAAUUUUAUAUAAAUUAUGCUAAUUUUUUAUCGAUUAAUUUUCAAAACUAAGGUACACUUACACGAAAAAAAAUUUACAUCCUCUAAAAUAUUUUAUUACAUUUAUAGUUAAUAUAUAAUAUUCCUAUCAAUUUCUAGAUUAGAAUUUACAGUUUUAUUGUGAAAACUCAGACCUCAGAUACUUGCCAAAUAAAACUAACAAAAGUGACCUCGUGUACUGUAUAUCACAAUUUUAUAUUAAUGAAAACUACAUACAUUUAUUAUAAUGCCUGUAAAUUAUUUUCAUUAAAGAAAUCUAAAACUUCCAAAUCAACUUAAACAGCUGUUUAUUUACAGAAGAAGGCACAUAAUUAACGUUAAAUGUUUUUAUGACUGCAAUUACUUUGAAUAAAAAUAAAUUAAGGGAAAUGACAUAAUAAGUGUUACCUUAAACAAAUUUGACUCAACAAGUGUUUAGGUAGAUAUCUGCCAAAGUUUAAGAACUACUAUGACUACUAAGACUGAACUACAAAAUCAUAAAAUAUAUAGGAUUCAGAUUUUCAUUUUGAUGUAAAAAAUCACAUAAUCACAAUUACAAAGAAGAAGCUGGGCUCAAAUUUUAAUAACGUUUUAGAAAAAUGAAGAUGCUUAAUGUAUAACAUUUUGAAAUAUCAAAAAUUUGUUUAAGAUUAUGACUGACAUUUAUUACUCUAUGUACACUUAGUAAUAAAAAAAAAUGGUUUAGGAUGAACAGGAAUGAUAAAUGUAAAUGUUUUAUUUUAAUACAUUAAUAUUUACAGAUAAUGACUGAACUCUUUACACAAUAAUUACAGUAACAAAAUUAAAGCAUAGAGGCACAUUAUUUUGGAUGAAUAUUGAUGCUUAAAAAAUUACACAUUGAAUACAGAAAAUUUUAUUUUCAAAUCAAAAGCAAUCAGCAAUGAAAGAUAAUAUUAUGCAGUGAUAACAAUAUAAAAAAUAAGCCUUUUUUUAAAGUUUUUCAAUGCAACAGACAAUGAGUAUAUUUACAAAUAUGAGAAAAACUAAGGCAGAUAGAAAGGGGGGACUAAAAAAAAACUGAACUAAAUUUAUAUAUAUA
Stegodyphus dumicola is the source of this 4430-nucleotide long non-coding RNA. The record is from RefSeq and is a predicted model, not a curated record. Lineage: Eukaryota; Metazoa; Arthropoda; Arachnida; Araneae; Eresidae.